AAAGUCGUAACAAGGUCUCCGUUGGUGAACCAGCGGAGGGAUCAUUACCGAGUUUACAACUCCCAAACCCCAGUGUGAACGCUACCGUUUGUUGCCUCGGCGGGAUCGCCCCGGGCGCGUCGCAGCCCCGGGCCAAGGCGCCCGCCGGAGGGAAACCCCAAACCCGUCAUGUCUAGGCCGCCGCCGCGCGUGCCCGUAUCACCUCUGAAGAAGAAAACCCCCCCGAACGGGGCGGGAAACAAAAUGAAUCAAAACUUUCAACAACGGAUCUCUUGGUUCUG
This 281-nucleotide unclassified non-coding RNA is filed under the name Ascomycota sp. Its description in RNAcentral is "partial contains small subunit ribosomal RNA, internal transcribed spacer 1, and 5.8S ribosomal RNA". The stretch from base 1 to 47 matches the Rfam family "Eukaryotic small subunit ribosomal RNA", at positions 1785 to 1831 of the family's 1831-position model. Lineage: Eukaryota; Fungi; Ascomycota. The record is from RNAcentral.